UAAGUUGAUGGUUGCAGGCUUAUCGGUC
This 28-nucleotide small RNA is filed under the name Bombyx mori (domestic silkworm). Its description in RNAcentral is "ovarian small RNA-19478". Lineage: Eukaryota; Metazoa; Arthropoda; Insecta; Lepidoptera; Bombycidae. The record is from RNAcentral.